AGCACAUGGUGUGGACAUCUUCUAAGCAAAUCUUUAAAUUGUUCCCAAACCUUAUAUAAGGAUUCACCAUCAAAUUGUAUGAAGGAAGUUAUAUCAUUCCUCAAUUU
RNAcentral lists this small nucleolar RNA (107 nucleotides) under Theobroma cacao (cacao). Its description in RNAcentral is "Plant small nucleolar RNA R71". It matches the Rfam family "Plant small nucleolar RNA R71". Rfam says of the family: R71 is a member of the C/D box family of snoRNAs containing the C (UGAUGA) and D (CUGA) box motifs. Multiple nearly identical copies of this snoRNA have been identified in Arabidopsis, and it is thought to function as a 2'-O-ribose methylation guide for 18S ribosomal RNA. Lineage: Eukaryota; Viridiplantae; Streptophyta; Magnoliopsida; Malvales; Malvaceae. The record is from Rfam by way of RNAcentral.